UAUUGGACAAUGGGCGCAAGCCUGAUCCAGCAAUGCCGCGUGAGUGAUGAAGGCCNUANNGUUGUNANGCUCUUUCGCACGUGNNNNNGAUGACGGUAANGUGAGAAGAAGCCCCGGCUAACUUCGUGCCAGAAGCCGCGGUAAUACGAAGGGGGCUAGCGUUGUUCGGAAUUACGGGGCGUAAAGGGCGCGUAGGCGGUCCGCUCAGUAAGAAGUGAAAGCCCCGGGCUCAACCUGGGAAUUGCUUUUGAUACUGGUGGACUUGAGUUCCGGAGAGGAUGGUGGAAUUCCCAGUGUAGAGGUGAAAUUCGUAGAUAUUGGGAAGAACACCGGUGGCGAAGGCGGCCAUCUGGACGGACACUGACGCUGAGGCGCGAAAGCGUGGGGAGCAAACAGG
This 397-nucleotide ribosomal RNA is filed under the name uncultured bacterium. Its description in RNAcentral is "partial 16S ribosomal RNA". It matches the Rfam family "Bacterial small subunit ribosomal RNA", at positions 362 to 776 of the family's 1533-position model. The record is from RNAcentral.